Lycium ferocissimum is the source of this 467-nucleotide long non-coding RNA. RefSeq lists it as uncharacterized. The transcript has 3 exons. The record is from RefSeq and is a predicted model, not a curated record. NCBI's taxonomy places the organism in Eukaryota, Viridiplantae, Streptophyta, Magnoliopsida, Solanales, Solanaceae.
AUUAUCCUUGUUGAUUAAGUUACAUAUAUUUAUAUGUUCUUUGUAGAAACGAUGCGACAUAAACAGGGCCAAUCGAAGUAAGCUUAAAAUUAAUCAUUUCAUGGGGUCAAAAGCGUUUGUACCGGCUCGUGCUGAACUUGCUGAAAAUGGAGUAGAGCCGAUAGAAUUGAGUUCUACAAGAGUACUCAUUACUCGACCGAAAAAGGAUGGUCAUCUCUAGAGGCCGAGACAAACUAUAACACCAUGAAAGAUUUGAAAGAUAUAUAUACUUCGGGAGAGCGGGGAGAGCCUUGCAUGACUAUUGAUCAAAUUAUGGAUACUGUACUUGGUACAAAAUCGGGGUACAUAAAAGGUCUCGGUUAUGGUCCGAAACCCGAUACUACCGAGCCACACAAAGAAGAACAUCGAGUUAGAAGACUCCCUUAGAAAGACGAAAGAGGAAGCUGCUAGUGUCCAACAUGAUUUAC